UACCGUCCUGAAGACUAUAUGUUUGUAUCUGAGGUCCUCCAUAGAAAUGAGAGGAUUCUCAAUGGGGAGAAACAAUUCUGUUAUAAGAAACUGCUCAAAUCAAGACCAAAGAAAAACACAUGGAAAUUUCCUUCAGAGGAAGUUAACAGAUACAGUUCAAAUAACAAGCUCACAAAUCGUUGAGACCCAAGUCACCCCUCAAGUUAAGAAAAGAGCAAAUUGACAAGAUUCAUAAUAACGUCAAAAGGCAAUCAUGUUCUUAUUGAAUAUCUAUGGCAAUCCUCAGAAUGAGGUUUUUAUAACAUUGUUCUAGGUGUUGAUGAGCUUCAGGUCCAAGUGUUAUCUUGAGACUCUGAGCCAUUUGUGUGAUAUGAGGAAACUGUCUCAUGCUAAGGGAACUCAUGAAGACUCGUCAGUGGUUAGAAGGAUCCUCUAAACUGAGAGCAAAGCUUCUUCUUCCCCUGGUCAGUCUCUGCCUGGCUCCCUUCAGAGAUUUAUCCAGAUUUCCUGAUGGGCUGAAGGAGCAAGACUUAAAUUAGAAAUACUCAGAAUAUAGCUAUUACAGUGAUAUGUGCAGGGAAGAGACAGCUAUUGAGAUCCCUAUAGAUGGGGUAGACAUUCCACUGAAGGGCAAGGAAAAGGAGUGCUCCCAGGAAGAGAGGAGAGAGAAGCCCAUCCUCCUCCAGAAGCCAUUAUCCUGUCCCUCGGCAGUUGGUCCUAUUAAACCCACUCUCCUAGUGGCCAUCUUCUUCCUAAUGCUGGGUUUAUGUCCUGCAGGUGCGUGGAUUUGGCUGUCUUAUGUCUAGGUGCCGAGUUUCCCUAAUUAUGAUUCUGAAAUUCCUAGGAGUUUGGACUACUGACCACAUCAUCAAUGCUAAACUCCAGAUGUAAGCUAUUCUGAAAGCAUUUCUGUGGAAUUUGAAAUGAAAAUGUAGCUGCUUAGUCUUUAAUAGAAGACAAACAAAAUGCAGGAGCCUGUGGGUCGAUUCUGAACAAGGAACCACACCAUCCAUCUGUCAGUUAUCAUACUGUGGUAGCUGCAUGUUGCUGUGAUGCUGAAAGCUAUACCACCGGUAUUUCAAAUACCAGCAGGGUCACCCAUGGUGGAAAAGAUUCAGCAGAGCUUCCAGGCUAAGACUAGAAUGAAAGACCUGGCCACCCGCUUGUGAAAAAAUUCACCAUGGAAACUCUGUGAAUAGCAGCGGAGCAUUGUCUGAUAUAACGUUGGAAGGUGAGAGGAUGGUGCAAAAAGACUGGGCAUGCUUCUGCUUUGCUGUACACAGGGUCACUAGGAGUCAGAAUCGACUGCAAUGGCACUAACAACAAAAAAGUAGAGCAUCCAAGAUCAUCCAAGUCUUCUCCCUGUGUGCCACACUGCUGUUCU
This 1384-nucleotide long non-coding RNA is filed under the name Equus asinus (donkey). RNAcentral describes it as "lncRNA (ENSEASG00005033089.1)". Lineage: Eukaryota; Metazoa; Chordata; Mammalia; Perissodactyla; Equidae. The record is from RNAcentral.